This 1714-nucleotide ribosomal RNA is filed under the name Staphylococcus aureus. RNAcentral's name for it is "partial 23S ribosomal RNA". It matches the Rfam family "Bacterial large subunit ribosomal RNA", at positions 1188 to 2904 of the family's 2925-position model. Lineage: Bacteria; Bacillati; Bacillota; Bacilli; Caryophanales; Staphylococcaceae. The record is from RNAcentral.
AUAUUACCGAAGCUGUGGAUUGUCCUUUGGACAAUGGUAGGAGAGCGUUCUAAGGGCGUUGAAGCAUGAUCGUAAGGACAUGUGGAGCGCUUAGAAGUGAGAAUGCCGGUGUGAGUAGCGAAAGACGGGUGAGAAUCCCGUCCACCGAUUGACUAAGGUUUCCAGAGGAAGGCUCGUCCGCUCUGGGUUAGUCGGGUCCUAAGCUGAGGCCGACAGGCGUAGGCGAUGGAUAACAGGUUGAUAUUCCUGUACCACCUAUAAUCGUUUUAAUCGAUGGGGGGACGCAGUAGGAUAGGCGAAGCGUGCGAUUGGAUUGCACGUCUAAGCAGUAAGGCUGAGUAUUAGGCAAAUCCGGUACUCAUUAAGGCUGAGCUGUGAUGGGGAGAAGACAUUGUGUCUUCGAGUCGUUGAUUUCACACUGCCGAGAAAAGCCUCUAGAUAGAAAAUAGGUGCCCGUACCGCAAACCGACACAGGUAGUCAAGAUGAGAAUUCUAAGGUGAGCGAGCGAACUCUCGUUAAGGAACUCGGCAAAAUGACCCCGUAACUUCGGGAGAAGGGGUGCUCUUUAGGGUUAACGCCCAGAAGAGCCGCAGUGAAUAGGCCCAAGCGACUGUUUAUCAAAAACACAGGUCUCUGCUAAACCGUAAGGUGAUGUAUAGGGGCUGACGCCUGCCCGGUGCUGGAAGGUUAAGAGGAGUGGUUAGCUUCUGCGAAGCUACGAAUCGAAGCCCCAGUAAACGGCGGCCGUAACUAUAACGGUCCUAAGGUAGCGAAAUUCCUUGUCGGGUAAGUUCCGACCCGCACGAAAGGCGUAACGAUUUGGGCACUGUCUCAACGAGAGACUCGGUGAAAUCAUAGUACCUGUGAAGAUGCAGGUUACCCGCGACAGGACGGAAAGACCCCGUGGAGCUUUACUGUAGCCUGAUAUUGAAAUUCGGCACAGCUUGUACAGGAUAGGUAGGAGCCUUUGAAACGUGAGCGCUAGCUUACGUGGAGGCGCUGGUGGGAUACUACCCUAGCUGUGUUGGCUUUCUAACCCGCACCACUUAUCGUGGUGGGAGACAGUGUCAGGCGGGCAGUUUGACUGGGGCGGUCGCCUCCUAAAAGGUAACGGAGGCGCUCAAAGGUUCCCUCAGAAUGGUUGGAAAUCAUUCAUAGAGUGUAAAGGCAUAAGGGAGCUUGACUGCGAGACCUACAAGUCGAGCAGGGUCGAAAGACGGACUUAGUGAUCCGGUGGUUCCGCAUGGAAGGGCCAUCGCUCAACGGAUAAAAGCUACCCCGGGGAUAACAGGCUUAUCUCCCCCAAGAGUUCACAUCGACGGGGAGGUUUGGCACCUCGAUGUCGGCUCAUCGCAUCCUGGGGCUGUAGUCGGUCCCAAGGGUUGGGCUGUUCGCCCAUUAAAGCGGUACGCGAGCUGGGUUCAGAACGUCGUGAGACAGUUCGGUCCCUAUCCGUCGUGGGCGUAGGAAAUUUGAGAGGAGCUGUCCUUAGUACGAGAGGACCGGGAUGGACAUACCUCUGGUGUACCAGUUGUCGUGCCAACGGCAUAGCUGGGUAGCUAUGUGUGGACGGGAUAAGUGCUGAAAGCAUCUAAGCAUGAAGCCCCCCUCAAGAUGAGAUUUCCCAACUUCGGUUAUAAGAUCCCUCAAAGAUGAUGAGGUUAAUAGGUUCGAGGUGGAAGCAUGGUGACAUGUGGAGCUGACGAAUACUAA